UACAUAGGGUGCAAGCGUUGUCCGGAAUUAUUGGGCGUAAAGAGCUCGUAGGUCGUUUGUUACGUCGGAUGUGAAAACCUGAGGCUCAACCUCAGGCCUGCAUUCGAUACGGGCGAGCUUGAGUAUGGUAGGGGAGUCUGGAAUUCCUGGUGUAGCGGUGGAAUGCGCAGAUAUCAGGAGGAACACCAAUGGCGAAAGGGCAGGACUCUGGGCCAUUACUGACACUGAGGAGCGAAAGCGUGGGAGCGAACAGG
This 254-nucleotide ribosomal RNA is filed under the name uncultured bacterium. RNAcentral describes it as "partial 16S ribosomal RNA". It matches the Rfam family "Bacterial small subunit ribosomal RNA", at positions 524 to 776 of the family's 1533-position model. The record is from RNAcentral.